ACGAGUGGCGGACGGGUGAGUAAAGUAUGGGGAUCUGCCGAAUGGAGGGGGACAACUGCUGGAAACGGCAGCUAAUACCGCAUAAAGUUGAGAGACCAAAGCGUGGGACCUUCGGGCCACGCGCCAUUUGAUGAACCCAUAUGGGAUUAGCUAGUUGGUGAGGUAAGGGCUCACCAAGGCGACGAUCUCUAGCUGGUCUGAGAGGAUGACCAGUCACACUGGAACUGAGACACGGUCCAGACUCCUACGGGAGGCAGCAGUGGGGAAUAUUGCACAAUGGGGGAAACCCUGAUGCAGCCAUGCCGCGUGUAUGAAGAAGGCCUUCGGGUUGUAAAGUACUUUCGGUAAUGAGGAAGGUGUGUUAUCUAAUAGGUGACACAAUUGACGUUAGUUACAGAAGAAGCACCGGCUAACUCCGUGCCAGCAGCCGCGGUAAUACGGAGGGUGCGAGCGUUAAUCGGAAUGACUGGGCGUAAAGGGCAUGUAGGCGGGUCAUUAAGUUAGGUGUGAAAUCCCCGGGCUCAACCUGGGAACUGCACUUAAAACUGGUGGUCUGGAGUAUUGUAGAGGAAGGUAGAAUUCCACGUGUAGCGGUGAAAUGCGUAGAGAUGUGGAGGAAUACCGGUGGCGAAGGCGGCCUUCUGGACAAAUACUGACGCUGAGAUGCGAAAGCGUGGGGGAGCAAACAGGAUUAGAUACCCUGGUAGUCCACGCUGUAAA
This 720-nucleotide ribosomal RNA is filed under the name Serratia symbiotica. Its description in RNAcentral is "bacterial SSU rRNA". It matches the Rfam family "Bacterial small subunit ribosomal RNA", at positions 91 to 806 of the family's 1533-position model. Lineage: Bacteria; Pseudomonadati; Pseudomonadota; Gammaproteobacteria; Enterobacterales; Yersiniaceae. The record is from RNAcentral.